RNAcentral lists this unclassified non-coding RNA (337 nucleotides) under soil metagenome. RNAcentral describes it as "partial contains 5.8S ribosomal RNA, internal transcribed spacer 2, and large subunit ribosomal RNA". The stretch from base 1 to 120 matches the Rfam family "5.8S ribosomal RNA", at positions 35 to 154 of the family's 154-position model. The record is from RNAcentral.
GAUGAAGAACGUAGCGAAAUGCGAUAAGUAGUGUGAAUUGCAGAAUUCAGUGAAUCAUCGAAUCUUUGAACGCACAUUGCGCCCCAUGGUAUUCCGUGGGGCAUGCCUGUUCGAGCGUCAUUUACCCCCUCAAGCUCCGCUUGGUGUUGGGCGUCUGUCCCGCUUCGCGCGCGGACUCGCCCCAAAGGUAUUGGCAGCGGUCGUGCCAGCUUCUCGCGCAGCACAUUGCGCUUCUCGAGGCACCGGUGGGCCCGCGUCCAUCAAGCUCACCCCCCCAGUUUGACCUCGGAUCAGGUAGGGAUACCCGCUGAACUUAAGCCUAUCAAUAAGCGGAGGA